RNAcentral lists this transfer RNA (76 nucleotides) under Propionivibrio sp. RNAcentral describes it as "tRNA-Val". It matches the Rfam family "tRNA". From Rfam's summary of the family: Transfer RNA (tRNA) molecules are approximately 80 nucleotides in length. The record is from RNAcentral. Lineage: Bacteria; Pseudomonadati; Pseudomonadota; Betaproteobacteria; Rhodocyclales; Rhodocyclaceae.
GGACGGUUAGCUCAGUUGGUAGAGCACUGCUUUCACACGGCAGGGGUCGUUGGUUCGAGUCCAAUACCGUCCACCA